GACGAACGCUGGCGGCGUGCUUAACACAUGCAAGUCGUACGGUAAGGCCCUUUCGGGGGUACACGAGUGGCGAACGGGUGAGUAACACGUGAGUAACCUGCCCACAACUUUGGGAUAACGCUAGGAAACUGGUGCUAAUACUGGAUAUGUGCUCCUGCUGCAUGGUGGGGGUUGGAAAGCUCCGGCGGUUGUGGAUGGACUCGCGGCCGAUCAGCUUGUUGGUGGGGUAGUGGCCUACCAAGGCGGCGACGGGUAGCCGGCCUGGGAGGGUGACCGGCCACAUUGGGACUGAGAUACGGCCCAGACUCCGACGGGAGGCAGCAGUGGGGAAGAGUGCACAAUGGGCGCAAGCCUGAUGCAGCAACGCCGCGUGCGGGAUGACGGCCUUGGGGUUGUAAACCGCAUUCAGCAGGGACGAAGCUUUUUGUGACGGUACCUGCAGAAGAAGCACCGGCUAACUACGUG
Molecule: ribosomal RNA, 465 nt
Filed under: uncultured bacterium
Lineage: Bacteria
Description: partial 16S ribosomal RNA
Rfam family: Bacterial small subunit ribosomal RNA
Source: RNAcentral